Ribosomal RNA from Prolemur simus (greater bamboo lemur), 116 nucleotides. Lineage: Eukaryota; Metazoa; Chordata; Mammalia; Primates; Lemuridae. The record is from Ensembl.
GUCUACAGCCAUACUACCCUGAACCCAACUGAUCUCAUCUGAUCUCAGAAGCUAAGCAGGGUUGGGCCUGGUUAGCACUUGGAUGGGAGAAGAACAUCUGACCCUUUUUGUAGCAA